RNAcentral lists this non-coding RNA (242 nucleotides) under Neobacillus vireti. RNAcentral describes it as "Bacillus vireti T-box sequence". It matches the Rfam family "T-box leader". Rfam says of the family: Uncharged tRNA acts as the effector for transcription antitermination of genes in the T-box leader family. T-boxes are found upstream of many aminoacyl-tRNA synthetase genes and some amino acid biosynthetic genes usually in Gram-positive bacteria. The anticodon of a specific tRNA base pairs to a specifier sequence within the T-box motif, and the NCCA acceptor tail of the tRNA base pairs to a conserved bulge in the T-box antiterminator hairpin. Lineage: Bacteria; Bacillati; Bacillota; Bacilli; Caryophanales; Bacillaceae. The record is from RNAcentral.
AAAUAACCAUUGAUGGAGCAUAGUAAUUAAGCUCACCCAUGAAAAGAGAGGAAAUGCCUUGGGCUGAAAGCAUUUCUGCAUGUGCCUUAAUGAAUGAACACUCCGUAGGCUUCUCUCUGAAAAAGCUCAGGGCUCUAGUAGGAGAAGAACGUAGCAGGCGUUAACUGUUUAAGAGGGAUAGCUUUUUUUGAAGGCUAUUCAACUAGGGUGGUACCGCGGGACUAUAAACUCUCGUCCCUUGU